UACGUAGGGUGCGAGCGUUGUCCGGAAUUACUGGGCGUAAAGAGCUCGUAGGCGGUUUGUCGCGUCUGCUGUGAAAACUGGAGGCUCAACCUCCAGCCUGCAGUGGAUACGGGCAGACUAGAGGUAGGUAGGGGAGAAUGGAAUUCCCGGUGUAGCGGUGAAAUGCGCAGAUAUCAGGAGGAACACCGGUGGCGAAGGCGGGUCUCUGGGCCGAUACUGACGCUGAGGAGCGAAAGCGUGGGGAGCAAACAGG
This 253-nucleotide ribosomal RNA is filed under the name uncultured bacterium. RNAcentral's name for it is "partial 16S ribosomal RNA". It matches the Rfam family "Bacterial small subunit ribosomal RNA", at positions 524 to 776 of the family's 1533-position model. The record is from RNAcentral.